CCUAUAGAAUAUAGUUAAUGCAUUGGAUCCCAUUAGAACUCCACAGUUAAGCAUCCUCAGGCUAGAGUAGUACUAGGAUGGGUGACCUCCUAGGAAGUCAUAGUGUUUUACAUGC
Molecule: non-coding RNA, 115 nt
Organism: Picea glauca (white spruce)
Lineage: Eukaryota; Viridiplantae; Streptophyta; Pinopsida; Pinales; Pinaceae
Source: Rfam